Molecule: ribosomal RNA, 484 nt
Filed under: uncultured bacterium
Lineage: Bacteria
Description: partial 16S ribosomal RNA
Rfam family: Bacterial small subunit ribosomal RNA
Source: RNAcentral
AUUGAACGCUGGCGGCAGGCCUAACACAUGCAAGUCGAGCGGAUGAAGGGAGCUUGCUCCUGGAUUCAGCGGCGGACGGGUGAGUAAUGCCUAGGAAUCUGCCUGGUAGUGGGGGAUAACGUCCGGAAACGGGCGCUAAUACCGCAUACGUCCUGAGGGAGAAAGUGGGGGAUCUUCGGACCUCACGCUAUCAGAUGAGCCUAGGUCGGAUUAGCUAGUUGGUGGGGUAAAGGCCUACCAAGGCGACGAUCCGUAACUGGUCUGAGAGGAUGAUCAGUCACACUGGAACUGAGACACGGUCCAGACUCCUAAGGGAGGCAGCAGUGGGGAAUAUUGGACAAUGGGCGAAAACCUGAUCCAGCCAUGCCGCGUGUGUGAAGAAGGUCUUCGGAUUGUAAAGCACUUUAAGUUGGGAGGAAGGGCAGUAAGUUAAUACCUUGCUGUUUUGACGUUACCAACAGAAUAAGCACCGGCUAACUUCGUG